AAUAAGAGGCGGUCAAAGGAAAACCAACGUGAAAUGAUAUAUUAUUAAAAAAGAAAAAGGAGGAGGCGUCACUUGGUAUAAAUCCAGAUAAAGGAAGGAAUCAUUAAUCGCUCGCUCGCUCCGAUUUCUCCAUUGCUGCACCUCGCGGUUGGACAAGAGAUAAUAAUUGAUUAAAACAGCGGAAGUUGUGGAGUAAUAUAGAGAGAUGGCCAGGAAUGAUAUCAGGCAAGUUAGGAUAAGUGGAAGCAAAAGGAAUGAAUCAGCACUGGCUCGAGUAAUGAAUAAGGUCAUUGCCUUUGUACGCUUUGCAGAAUUUGAGAUCUUCUUCGUUCUGUUCUUUCUCAUUGCUUUUUUCUUCUUCAAGAAUCUCACGUCCAGGCCUGAGUACAGCCAAAUCCUUGUAAAGAAGCCUGGCGGUGCUGACUUUUGGCCUUACUAGGAAGGCAUUGGAAGAGUGGCUUAUUGUAGCCACCCCCACCCCCUCUUGAUUUGCCGAGGGUUUAGUUGUUCUGUCAUAGAUUUUGCUCUGGUGCUACCAUAUGUUAUGUUGUAUGAUAAUUUCUGUAACAUUUCUUUUCAAGAAAAAUACUGUACACUUCUUCAAACUGGAUGUUUUACAAGGAAGGAAAUUGUUUGAGCUUUGACACAAAUUAUAUUAUUUCAAGAAGCAUGGUUACUCGUUUCAGUAUUUAUACACAAAUACCAGAUUUUAGGUGUGUCAGGCAGCUUUUAUUGAAGCUAUCAGCUACGUAUAGAGAUGGCAUUUUCUGGCGGUUAUUGAGAUGAAAAAACCAAUGUCAUUGCAUGAAUGUGUAGAUUUCAAGUAGAGGAUGGCAUUUGAAUUUGUAACUUCUACGCGAUUUGAUAAGAACAAAAGAACCUAUCCUCAUUAGCCAUUGACAUAUAACUUCUAUGUGAUUUGAUGUGUGCAUUAUCCAUGUCAAUGAUCUUAUUUUAAAUUCAUCUCAUCAUCAAUUGUUUAGCAGAAACUUCUCCACAUACUUUGCAAUCGAAUUCCAACUGUCACAGGCAUGUUAUGCAGACCCGCAUGCCCAACUUUGAAACAGGAAAGGUCCGCGAUUUGUGG
This is a long non-coding RNA of Populus euphratica (Euphrates poplar), 1087 nucleotides long. RefSeq lists it as uncharacterized. The record is from RefSeq and is a predicted model, not a curated record. NCBI's taxonomy places the organism in Eukaryota, Viridiplantae, Streptophyta, Magnoliopsida, Malpighiales, Salicaceae. The transcript has 3 exons.